This 253-nucleotide ribosomal RNA is filed under the name uncultured bacterium. RNAcentral describes it as "partial 16S ribosomal RNA". It matches the Rfam family "Bacterial small subunit ribosomal RNA", at positions 524 to 776 of the family's 1533-position model. The record is from RNAcentral.
UACGAAGGGGGCUAGCGUUGUUCGGAAUUACUGGGCGUAAAGCGUGUGUAGGCGGCCAUAUAAGUCGGAUGUGAAAGCCCUGGGCUCAACCCAGGAAGUGCACUCGAUACUGUAUGGCUUGAGUACUGGAGAGGUUGGUGGAAUUCACGGUGUAGAGGUGAAAUUCGUAGAUAUUCGCAAGAACACCAGUGGCGAAGGCGGCUCACUGGCCCGAUACUGACGCUGAGGUGCGAAAGCGUGGGGAGCAAACAGG